GCGCGAAAACUUUACAAUGCGGGGAACCGCGAUAAGGGGACACCGAGUGCCAGCAUCCUAUGUUGGCUGUCCAUAUGUCUAAAUCACAUGUGUUAGCAAGGGCCGGGCAAGACCGGUGCCAGCCGCCGCGGUAACACCGGCGGCCCGAGUGGUGGCCACUAUUAUUGGGUCUAAAGGGUCCGUAGCCGGUUUGGUCAGUCUUCCGGGAAAUCUGACGGCUCAACCGUUAGGCUUUCGGGGGAUACUACCAGGCUAGGGACCGGGAGAGGUAAGAGGUACUACGGGGGUAGGAGUGAAAUCUUGUAAUCCCUGUGGGACCACCAGUGGCGAAGGCGUCGUACCAGAACGGGUCCGACGGUGAGGGACGAAAGCUGGGGGCACGAACC
Molecule: ribosomal RNA, 386 nt
Filed under: uncultured prokaryote
Description: bacterial SSU rRNA
Rfam family: Archaeal small subunit ribosomal RNA
Source: RNAcentral